AUUGAACGCUGGCGGCAUGCCUUACACAUGCAAGUCGAACGGCAGUACGGGAGCUUGCUCCUGGUGGCGAGUGGCGAACGGGUGAGUAAUACAUCGGAACGUACCCUGAAGUGGGGGAUAACGUAGCGAAAGUUACGCUAAUACCGCAUAUUCUGUGAGCAGGAAAGAGGGGGGAUCGCAAGACCUCUUGCUUUAGGAGCGGCCGAUGUCGGAUUAGCUAGUUGGUGAGGUAAAGGCUCACCAAGGCGACGAUCCGUAGCGGGUCUGAGAGGAUGAUCCGCCACACUGGGACUGAGACACGGCCCAGACUCCUACGGGAGGCAGCAGUGGGGAAUUUUGGACAAUGGGCGCAAGCCUGAUCCAGCCAUGCCGCGUGAGUGAAGAAGGCCUCGGGUU
Molecule: ribosomal RNA, 396 nt
Filed under: uncultured bacterium
Lineage: Bacteria
Description: bacterial SSU rRNA
Rfam family: Bacterial small subunit ribosomal RNA
Source: RNAcentral